AUUGAACGCUGGCGGAAUGCUUUACACAUGCAAGUCGAACGGCAGCACGGACUUCGGUCUGGUGGCGAGUGGCGAACGGGUGAGUAAUGUAUCGGAACGUGCCCAGUCGUGGGGGAUAACGUAGUGAAAAUUACGCUAAUACCGCAUACGAUAUAUGGAUGAAAGCGGGGGAUCGCAAGACCUCGCGCGACUGGAGCGGCCGAUAUCAGAUUAGGUAGUUGGUGGGGUAAAGGCCCACCAAGCCAACGAUCUGUAGCUGGCCUGAGAGGACGACCAGCCACACUGGAACUGAGACACGGUCCAGACUCCUACGGGAGGCAGCAGUGGGGAAUUUUGGACAAUGGGCGAAAGCCUGAUCCAGCCAUUCCGCGUGCAGGAUGAAGGCCCUCGGGUUGUAAACUGCUUUUGUACAGAACGAAAAGGUUUCUACUAAUACUAGGAGCUCAUGACGGUACUGUAAGAAUAAGCACCGGCUAACCACGUGCCAGCAGCCGCGGUAA
This 500-nucleotide ribosomal RNA is filed under the name uncultured bacterium. Its description in RNAcentral is "partial 16S ribosomal RNA". It matches the Rfam family "Bacterial small subunit ribosomal RNA", at positions 30 to 523 of the family's 1533-position model. The record is from RNAcentral.